Molecule: transfer RNA, 72 nt
Filed under: uncultured archaeon
Lineage: Archaea
Description: tRNA-Arg(gcg)
Rfam family: tRNA
About the family: Transfer RNA (tRNA) molecules are approximately 80 nucleotides in length. Their secondary structure includes four short double-helical elements and three loops (D, anti-codon, and T loops).
Source: RNAcentral
GGCUCCAUAGUUUAACGGAUAGAAUAUGUGGUUGCGGUCCGCAUGAUCGGGGUUCAAUUCCUCGUGGAGUCA